Cucurbita maxima (winter squash) is the source of this 503-nucleotide long non-coding RNA. RefSeq lists it as uncharacterized. The transcript has 2 exons. The record is from RefSeq and is a predicted model, not a curated record. NCBI's taxonomy places the organism in Eukaryota, Viridiplantae, Streptophyta, Magnoliopsida, Cucurbitales, Cucurbitaceae.
AAGCCAAGAAGGGAAUAAGUGGGUUCAAUGAGCAAAUCAGUUGUAGGGCAGCCCCACGUUGGGCAUGGCAGUGGAGUUGUUCAAUUUUCAAUGAUAACUCCAGACUUUGCCCAGUGGGGGCUGCCCUCUGACUGCUUUAGCUUAGUUUUGCAUGAGUUUAAUCCCCAUGUGCCCUUAAUAAGGGACGCCCAACAGUAUGGACUGUCUUCAACCAAGAGGGGACGCUUGUAGACGAUCGGUCGAGUAUCGACUGAGACGCAGAUGGCUGGGCAUGCGGCAGGUUGCUGAAGGCUUGUUUUUUAGGUUCUCCAUGGGUUGUCUCCGACUACUUUUUAUCUGGUGCCGUGAAUGAGCUUAGGCCACACCUACAUGACCUUCUCUUCUUUCUAGGUUGUUAGGUUGGUGACCCUAGCAACCCGAACAAAGUUCACAUUUCAACUCUCUAUUUUUUUAUUCAAUUUUGACAGUCUCUUUUUAUUAUAUAAAAUGUACAUACUUAUCCA